Molecule: non-coding RNA, 153 nt
Filed under: uncultured Barnesiella sp.
Lineage: Bacteria; Pseudomonadati; Bacteroidota; Bacteroidia; Bacteroidales; Barnesiellaceae
Source: RNAcentral
GCCAUACAGGAUUAAAAGGGAAUCAGGUGCAAAUCCUGAACAGUCCCGCUGCUGUAAGUUCCGUAUUACGUCGCGUGCUCGCAAAGCCACUGAAUUACAUUUGGGAAGGCGCACGACGACGGGAACAAGUCAGAAGACCUGCCGAUACUGUUU